GGGGACGCGUUCGGGCACAGUACCCCUUGGGUGACGAGGAAAGCUGUGCUAAUCCCUUACUUUAUUUCUCUCUUUUUCCUUACCCGUUAUCACAUAUAUUUUCUCUUUAACCAUUGGAGUUGAUUAAAAGUUGCUGGGCCAUAUCUGCUGCCGAAAGUUUAUAACCGCAGUCUCGUACUUAAUUACUGCAUAUAAACGACUUUUUAUUUGCAUCCUCUCGUUUGCUUUUUAUUUCCAAUAUCCUCUCUUUUUUCCUUGAUCGCAUUCCGAAAGUUCCCUGCGGAUGAUCACGAACCUUAUCAAUUAUCCCGGUAUAAACGUAUAAAAUUUCACUUUAAUGGGUGAAAUUCGUACAUACAUAUAUGUAUAUACACGUUGAAAUAAGUCCCGGCAGCUUUCGCCCUGGUUCUUCUCGGAAUAAAAGUGCCAACGUAAUAUCACGUGGCUGAUAGAUAACGAUCGGAUUCUAUGGAAAGUCUCUUCUACGAGGAUUAAGUGGAAACUUUUUUGUUGAGUGAUUCAUUUUCGAGGAAGAUGAUCCAGCGGGUAUAUGUACCUAAUUAGAAUAAAUAGGUAUUAGUCUUAAUUACUUUGCACUUAUUUUUUUUAUUACAUUCUUUAAUUCUACUGACUAUGUUGGCAUUUUUAAGAAUUUCUUUUUAUUUUUUUCAAUCUACUUAAGAUCUUUGUUUCGAGCGAUUCGAAAGCACUUGAUAACAUCUCUCAAUGGCAAAGGAGAUAAAGAAAAGAAAAGAGCGUCUAUGUUGCAGGUAUAAUUACCUAAUUACUUGCUUGCAAUUAUCACGAUUACAUUGCGAUGAGUCGGUCGCAAAUCGUAUUUUGAUGUUCUUUAUUCCAAGCGUAAAAUCGAAAACACAUAUACUCAUUGUUCGUCGUUCGUCGCUGCGCUAGUUGAACAUUAUUUUAUUUUAAAUGGUCUUCCUGAAAAUAUCGAAGUUCGUGGUAGAAGAUAAAAAUUAUUACAAUACGACAAUCAAUAUCCUUUAUCAUUUUUUCUUACUUUAACGAAAAUACUUGUUUAUCAAAAGCUCAUCGGUGCAAAUAACAAAUAUCGCAAUAUUUUCGCUCCAUGGUUAUAAUGGAAUAUAAAUAUUCUUUCGAAUGUCUUCUUACGUAAUUCGAACGUAAGUAAAAACGGGCAUAGCGAAUAUAUCUACGAAGGGAAAAUCUGCGGUAGAUAGGAUGGAGAAAUGUCGUAAACGAAAUGAGAUCGCUUUAUAUGCAAGAGACGAUCUACGCGUCGAGAUAUAUCGCUUAAAAGCAUAUUAGUAAAUCGAGUGUUUGCUAUUCCGUGCGCAUAGUCUCUUUCUCUUUCUUUUUCUUUCUGUCUUUUCUUUCUGUUUCUUCGUGAUGCAACGACCCUCUUUAUGCACACGAACGAUACAUCUCGCAAAAUUAAUUUUGUCGAAAUGGGCGAUCCUUCAUUUUUCUUUUCCACCUUUUAUCGAGUAUACCCACUGUAGUUCACUAAAUUAAUACGGACAAGUUGAGUCGUCAUUUUUUCUAUUAACGCAUGGACGCGUGUAAACGUCCAGAUGAAAGAUUCGAUAGCAGAGAAGCAGUAAUAUACUGUGAAAAAAGAACAGGCAAAAGAGAAAGAGGAAAGGGAGUAUGCAUAUAAAAGGCUAAAAAAUUAGCAAUUAUAAGUUCCGUACAUUAGCAUACGAGAAGGCGUUCGCUCUCACAAAGCCGUUGAGUUUAAUAGCUUCUGCAUGAAAGCAGGAAUUCAUGAAAGAUCGAUGUUAAAUUUUAUCCCUAGGGCUCCUUUGGCAGAAAAGAGAAUGAGAAACGACGAAAAUUACUUUUGGGAACAAAAUAAGAGGAAGAAAAAGUAAAACCGAAAUAAUAUGAAAUACACAAAAGUAGAAAAAUAAAAUCAAAACGAGACGACAAAUACAACAAGAAAUUGAUGCAGAAAUUGAUGAAUAUGAAUCAAACUUCUAAGGACGAAAUAACGACGAGCGGUAAUGAUCAAAGGUCAAACGAGCACGGUCAUAAAGUCAUCACCUUCGACUGCCGUUCGUUGACGCGUAGCAUCGUAAGCGGGCAAGAAACGAGUAGAUCUCGCUGAAUGUCACCUCGAUCUGCGGGAAAGAAAUAGGAAAAGAGACAGAAGAGAACCACUUUGCCCGCUAUAUACGAAUACUCAUUCAAGCACACACGUACACGAUGUUGCUUUCAUGUACAUAUACCUUUAUCAAAGCCGACGGAGUCGCUUAGGACGUAAAGGAGCUUGUCAUGUAAAGAGAACAUGUAAUUGCUGGAGAUAUUAGUUCAUAAACAAUUUUGACCCAUUUCACGUAAAACUAGAUACGUACGAUUAUCGAUCAGAA
Long non-coding RNA from Vespula vulgaris, 2354 nucleotides. RefSeq lists it as uncharacterized. The transcript is spliced from 3 exons. Lineage: Eukaryota; Metazoa; Arthropoda; Insecta; Hymenoptera; Vespidae. The record is from RefSeq and is a predicted model, not a curated record.